CACAUUUUUAGUUGGGGUUGGCCCUGAAUUCAUUCUGACUACCUUUCAGUCAUCGAGCAGUUCUCGGAAAUACUGAGGGUAGAGGAAACAAACCGUGAAAUUUGGCUAGAAACACAGGGUUGUGAAAAGGGAGUAGUAGCCAGAAAAAUAAUUUGGUAUCUUAACAGAAGGCUCUGAAUGGCCAGUCAAGUUAUUUGGACCUUAUUCAUUUAUUCAUUCAGUGAAUAUUUAUUAAGCAUUCAUUCUGUGUCAGGAGCUGUUUGGAGGAAUGAAAACUCAGCGUUAAACAAGACAAGGGUAGAGAGAAAAAAAUCAACAAGGAAACCACAAGAAAAUAUCAGGUGGUGGCUUGCUCCUGCAGUGGUAGUGGAGUGAGGAGCCAGAAAAGGGACCAGGGGCUGGGGUGCAGAAGAAGGUGAUGUAAAUACCUGUGCCAACCUGAAGCAGCCCCUUCAGUUCUAAGUUUAUAAUCCUUCAGCUGGGCAAGAUGUUGAAGAUCCACUUGUUUCAAGAACACUCUUGUAUCCUUGCCAGAAUAGCACGUUCUUUACCCUGCGCCUCUGAAGUGCUUUGGAAACUGAUGAAGAGGUGUGAGUUUGUAUAGCUUCUCACCUGGUGCUAGCACCUGAAGUUCACAGACAGUUGGGCAAAGAAGAUGGAUAGGAAACAGAGGAAGCAAAGACAAGCUGAGUGAAGGAGAAACUGGUACCUUCCAUCAUGGAGCUAAAUAUGCAUCUGCUCCAGAAUUCAGGGAAGUUGAUCCAGCAGGAGGAUCUGGCAGGAGCCCAGCUGCUGCCUCUCACCAACAAGGUGAGCUUGUGAAUAAGACAACAUGCAUGAGUUCUAACAGUGCCUGGAGCCCCGCAUCCAUCUUCCAAGCAUAAAAUAACAAGAUGGCUACUGCUUCACUUCCACUUUCUACAUCUUACACAAAAUGUCUCUUGAGGGCCACACUGUCCGAGAAAUCUGCAGAAAAGACAUAUGGAAGAUAGAGUUCUAAUGUAGCCAAGUUGAUACAAUACACAUCUAUCACACAGUAUUUAUCAGAAGAUUUGGUGAGGGAUGGGUGGGUACACAGCUGCCCUAAACCCCAUUGAUAGAUAGCCUAGAGGUUUAUAAGCCUUGGAUUAUUAAAAAUCUCUUUUCUAGUGUUCAUGAUAAUAGGAAUGGCAUCAAUGACUCAAUUAAGAAAACACCACCUUCUGAAUUUAGGUUUAUCUGUGUCAAUGAGUUUUAAUAGCUGGAAACAUUUGUAUUUUAGUUACCUUUCUAAUUUUUUCUUUACUUGAGAGCCUGUCAGUCCGCUCUAAGUAUUAAGGAGUCAUAAAAUUCUUAACAAUGCCUUUUUAAAAUAUAAGUUUUAUUUUCUAAUUUUUCAAGCAAAUGCACAUAUUAUUUAAAAUGUAUAUGCCCCUGCCUUUAGUCAUAAUUAAAUAAAAUACAUGAGUGCUUUUUCCUUGAAAUCAGAUGUAUCAGGUAAUUUUAAGCCAUGGAAUUGUGUUAAAGUUAUUGCCAUUCAUUUUGAAUUUUUAAACUUAUUGAGUACUGGGUCCCUCUUCAUUCUUACCCUAGCUUUUUAGUUUUGCCCUUAUGAAUCUUUUGAGUUAAUAGAAAACCUUUCAGUUAGAUUGUCUCUUGAUCUUUUGACCAGUCUUCAACUUCAUAGAAAGUAGGUAGCCUCUGCCCAUCUGCUUACUGACACAACGAAAAGCCUUUCUAUUACUAGAUGCUAUCUAGUGCUAGAAAAUAAUAGCUGAAAUAUUGGGAGCUUUAUGCAGUGCUACUUUAUUGCUAUGGGAACUUA
Callithrix jacchus (white-tufted-ear marmoset) is the source of this 1804-nucleotide long non-coding RNA. RefSeq lists it as uncharacterized. The record is from RefSeq and is a predicted model, not a curated record. NCBI's taxonomy places the organism in Eukaryota, Metazoa, Chordata, Mammalia, Primates, Cebidae.